UACGUAGGGACCGAGCGUUGUCCGGAAUCAUUGGGCGUAAAGAGCGUGUAGGCGGCCACUUAAGUCCUGCGUGAAAUCCUGCGGCUCAACCGCAGGCGGUCGUGGGAAACUGGGUGGCUAGAGUGCGGGAGAGGAGAGUGGAAUUCCUGGUGUAGCGGUGGAAUGCGCAGAUAUCAGGAAGAACACCAACGGCGAAGGCAGCUCGCUGGGACGGUACUGACGCUGAGGCGCGAAAGCGUGGGGAGCGAACAGG
Molecule: ribosomal RNA, 253 nt
Filed under: uncultured bacterium
Lineage: Bacteria
Description: partial 16S ribosomal RNA
Rfam family: Bacterial small subunit ribosomal RNA
Source: RNAcentral